This 695-nucleotide ribosomal RNA is filed under the name uncultured bacterium. Its description in RNAcentral is "bacterial SSU rRNA". It matches the Rfam family "Bacterial small subunit ribosomal RNA", at positions 111 to 832 of the family's 1533-position model. The record is from RNAcentral.
UAACACGUGAGUAACCUGCCCCCGAGAGCGGGAUAGCCCUGGGAAACUGGGAUUAAUACCGCAUAGUAUCGAAAGAUUAAAGCAGCAAUGCGCUUGGGGAUGGGCUCGCGGCCUAUUAGUUAGUUGGUGAGGUAACGGCUCACCAAGGCGAUGACGGGUAGCCGGUCUGAGAGGAUGUCCGGCCACACUGGAACUGAGACACGGUCCAGACACCUACGGGUGGCAGCAGUCGAGAAUCAUUCACAAUGGGGGAAACCCUGAUGGUGCGACGCCGCGUGGGGGAAUGAAGGUCUUCGGAUUGUAAACCCCUGUCAUGUGGGAGCAAAUUAAAAAGAUAGUACCACAAGAGGAAGAGACGGCUAACUCUGUGCCAGCAGCCGCGGUAAUACAGAGGUCUCAAGCGUUGUUCGGAAUCACUGGGCGUAAAGCGUGCGUAGGCUGUUUCGUAAGUCGUGUGUGAAAGGCGCGGGCUCAACCCGCGGACGGCACAUGAUACUGCGAGACUAGAGUAAUGGAGGGGGAACCGGAAUUCUCGGUGUAGCAGUGAAAUGCGUAGAUAUCGAGAGGAACACUCGUGGCGAAGGCGGGUUCCUGGACAUUAACUGACGCUGAGGCACGAAGGCCAGGGGAGCGAAAGGGAUUAGAUACCCCUGUAGUCCUGGCAGUAAACGGUGCACGCUUGGUGUGCGGGGAAU